Molecule: ribosomal RNA, 252 nt
Filed under: uncultured bacterium
Lineage: Bacteria
Description: partial 16S ribosomal RNA
Rfam family: Bacterial small subunit ribosomal RNA
Source: RNAcentral
UACGGAGGAUGCGAGCGUUAUCCGGAUUUAUUGGGUUUAAAGGGUGCGUAGGCGGCACGGCAAGCCGGCGGUCAAAUCGCGGGGCUCAACCCCGCCCAGCCGUCGGAACUGCCGGGCUAGAGUGGGCGAGAAGUGCGCGGAAUGCGUGGUGUAGCGGUGAAAUGCAUAGAUAUCACGCAGAACUCCGAUUGCGAAGGCAGCGCACCGGCGCCCUACUGACGCUCAGGCACGAAAGCGUGGGUAUCGAACAGG